Molecule: long non-coding RNA, 4525 nt
Organism: Numida meleagris (helmeted guineafowl)
Lineage: Eukaryota; Metazoa; Chordata; Aves; Galliformes; Numididae
Exons: 2
Source: RefSeq, a predicted model, not a curated record
AUUACUAGUGAAAAAACUUCUAACCUGGAGUUCCCAGUCCAUCUCAGCCAGAGCUACUGUAUUUCUCUACCUUAAGAAGAUCUCAGUUAAGGAGCUUGCUUACUUUUUGAAGACAGUUGAGAGCCCUAUCCAACUGUAUAUAAAAUACCUAACCCAAAUUUAUUAUAUCCUCUCAAAACAUAUCCAUACGGAGUGUUAUUUGGAGUUACUUACUGGUUUUGAAUAUAGAGCUUUAAGAAGAAUAUAGUAAAAGUAAGCUUGAAUGCUACCACGUUGUUUUAGCAGACUGUAGAAGAAUCAGUAACUGCUUACCAGCCCUGUAGAUAACCCUGAAACUCCUUAAUUUCCUUUCAUUCUGAGCACUUAAGCCAGUCUUAAAUCUUCUCCAUCCUCUUGCCACUCAUUGUAUUCUGAAGACGUGAAUUUCAUAGACAUUUUAAAGUCUCUUAAAUCCUACAUAAUGAAAACCACAAAUAAACUCUGUAAUGCUGAAAGGCAUUAAAAAGACUCACAAGCAACUAUGUAUGCUACAAACAUCAUACCAGUCCUGUGCUGUGUGCAACUGUUACUAGACUAUACUUCUAUGGGAUCUGUUUUGGUUUUGACUUAAAGCGUACAAAAAACUUAGUGAUAUACGUUGUUAGUUUCACUGAGGUCAGUAAGGGUAUUUAAUUUUACAGAAUCUGAGGACCUGACCCAGGAUUAUCACAGUCCAUUACCAUUAUGUUUGCUAAAAUACAUAAUAUUUAUCUAUUUAUCUUAUGUUGGAGAUGGGUUCUGUCAUUCUCCAUUGCAGCUGGGGUCCAGGGCUCUUGAGGGCUGUUUCAUUUCUGAGAAGAUCCCAUCUAUCUCUCUCUUGUUUCCUCUAAUAUCGCAUAGCCUGCUGAUUUUUCUCUGGUACCUCUGCCACUUGAUGACACAGCUCUUCAGCAUCAGCACCCAUCCUGCAGGAAAGAAGACCACCUUUUCCCAGCCUCGAUGCAUACCCUGCAGCCUGGGUUUCCAGGGCUGCAUUCACUGUCUGAAGCUCUGUCUGGGUUGAAGGCUCUACAGGAGCAGGGACAGCUGUUCUGACAGCUAAUGGGGAAUGUGUUGCUUGUAUCUGCUGGGUUCUGAAAGGUGUCUCCAUGGCAAUUAGUAAUGACAGCUGAAUUAAAAAUGACAGCCCAAAUGAGAGCAGACAAAAUUGAGAUGAGUGGGGGUAAUGCACCAGAGCGUUGUGCUGCCAUCCAGAAAGACAUCGCUGGAGAAAUGGACUGAUAGGAACCUCAUAAAGCUCAGCAAGGAGAAGUGCAAAGUCCUGCCCAUGGGGUGGAACAACCUUAGGCACCAAUACAUGUUAGGAGCCACCUGACUGGAAAGCAACUUGGCAGAAAAGGACAGUAUGGUCCUGGUGGACACCAAGUUGAAUGUAAGCUAGCAAUGUACGCUUGCCACAAAUACAACCGGUGGUAUCCUGAGUUACAUUAGGAGUGUUACCAUCAGGUUGGGAAAGGUAAUCCUUCCAUAGAUAGGAUAAUUCUUCUGUUCCUCCUCUGGUGAGGCCACAUGUGGAGUGCUUUGUCUUAGGCUCUUCAGGACAAGAGAGACAGAUCGGAGAGAGUCCAACAAAGGACCACUAAGAUGAUUAGGGAACUGGAGAACUUUUCCUGUGAGGAAAGGCUGCGAGAGCUGGGAUGGCUUAGCCUACAGCAGAGAAGACUCAGAGGGUACCUCAUCAAUGCGUACAAAUACCUAAUGGGAAGAUGUAAAGAGGACAGAGCCAAACUCUUUUCAGUUCUGCUGCCUAGGGACAAGACGAGGCAAUUGGGCACAAACUGAAAUGAGGAGGGUGCUAUCUGGCUAUCAGGAAAGAUUUUGUUGUUGUUUUUACUCUGACAGUGACUGAGCACUUGAACGCAUCACAUAGAAGGGUAGUCUCCCUUCUUGAAGAUGCUCAGAAUCUGUUUGAUAAUGUCUUGGGCAAGGAGAUCUAUAUGGCCAUACUUGAGCAGGGGUUGGGACUAGAUGACCUCCAGAGAUCACCUCAACCUCCAACCAUUCUGUGGUUCUGUGAAACAGCGAUAGAAAUUAUCACCUGUCCACCCUGUUUGAACUUUUGAAAGUUCUUUUGGGUAUUGCAAACUUCCUUUGAUCGCCUGUAGUAGGUUUUCCUGCCUACUAGCUCUGCUUGCCCCACAUCUCAGAAUGUACUAGGAAUUUUUCACAUGUCAAAAUGGAAUGGAAAUUAAAUAAGCAAUUCAUUGAAUUAGACAAGCCAUUUUUUCCCUUGGCGAGUAGCAAUACAAACUCAUUUAUGUCAGUAGUUCUAGGUCAAUUUAUCAACAACCGGUAACAAAGGAUGUAUCUCAUUACACAACUAUAGCUCAGCUCACACAAACAACACCUGAAACCAAGUGAGAUGGGAAAUAUCAGGACCCAGAGUAGUUUAUAUAAUUUGGCCUAAUUUAUUCCACCUUUGUCAGAAUUUGUAUAGCAGUUCAUGUUCACUAUGAAAAGAACAAUUCAAAGAAUCAGGUUGAAGUAGUGCUUUAUCAUUUCUUUCUGGAAAGUCAUUGUCAGACAGCAUAUCUAUAUUAAUAUGAGUCUGCAACUUUUUUUUCUCCCCUAAUUUUGGCAAAGAGUCCAAGGCAUGGAGAAAAAAAAAGCUGCAGAAACUGUGUUAUAGUCAGGGCUGAUUUCUUAGCCUACUGUAAAUCAUUUUCUUCUGGUUCUGCAGCUACUAGUGUAUUUCUUGCUGUAAGGAGUGUAUUUCAUGAGCAGAAUGAGUUGAAUCCAUGGUGUGCCAGAUUAAUUUUGUUUGCUUCUUUUGACAAAAGACAAUUCUGAUUACUUCUCAGGCUGAUGUAUGUUCUUAUAUGUUAAAAUUCUUAAGCAGCCCAAAAAGUCACAGCUUGCAGUCUGGGCGUAUGAAGGUUGAGCAGAAAGAGAAAACUUGCAUGAAGGCCAUAAUUUUUUUUCAGGUAAUGUACAAAAGAACCCCCUUAUUGAAAGAUAGUUCACAUUAGAACUGAGGUUGAGAACAUGUCUUCAUGGAGAUCUCAAGUUCAUGUUGCAUUUUUCUUUUGUUAAAGUUACAGCAGAAAAUGUGAGGUUAAGUUUGGUUUCAGCUCACGUCCUUGUGGUUUUUGAAUUCUUAACAGCUUUUUUGUUGUUCUGUUCUGUGAAACAUAUGUGACUCUGUUCCUGUUUUGUUUUCUACAUAUUUUCACUUAGUUACAGAUAGUAAUCUGAUGAUUUGAUUUUUGCUUUUUCUUUAAGAAUCUAUCAUCAGCCUUUAAUACUGUUGAACAGAAGGCUUUUAUGUACUUCAUGCCCAUGAAAAAGACAGUAAACUGUUGAUUAUGAAUGUUCCAUAGUAUGUAUUUUCUUACCACACAGUGUCAGAGGCCAUGUGCGUGGUUUUUCUGCUCAGUCUGUGAAGGCAUUCACAAUUGUUUCACUCAGAUGUAAGGACCCAUCUCAGUUCUGCCUCUGUGCCAGUCUGUAAAAUGUGGAUCAGUGCAAAGUAUUCUGUUGUCUUGUCCACAAAAUAUUUCUCAAGCCCAUGUUCUCUAACAGUUGCAUCACCUUCGUUGCUGGUGUUACUGAGAGCUGUAGGAUGCACAAGGCUUCCAUCAGUGCAGGCAGUUUGCCACCGUUUUCUGAAGUUGAUUGUGCUGUCCCUGACUGUUUGCUGAACACGUCUCUUAGAUCAGUCGCGGAUUUUUCUGCAUUCAAUGAUUGUGUCUCAAGUAGAACAAAUCUCUAAUAGGGUAAUGUUAAGUUUGGGGGAUACUUCUCAUCUUCAAUGCAAAACAUCUUGGUACAAAAAUUGAUCAAGUGGCCAUAUGUUCAAAAGAUAUAUACAGACUGGAAUUGGGAAUGUUUCUGGGUUUUGAAUGGAAAAUUGUUUGUUUAGAGGGGAAAAGAAGUACUUCGUACUAUAAUAAAAUGCAGGAAACUUCAACACAAAUUCCACUCAUAGUUUUAAAGAAGGAUCAAGUCUGUAUGGAAAAGGCUUGUUUCAAAAAGCAAAGUAGUAAGACAUGACACGGGGUGUGGGCGGGAAAGCAUUUAGGGGCUUUUGAAUUAAUGUUUCCAGUGUCAUAAUGUCGUUUAGUGACUUGGGAUAGCAUGGUAUUUGUAGUUAACUUCCUUAACCUCAAUGAGGGUGAAAUACUUGGAAAGAAGGAUGGAUUGGUGGUUUAAAUGUGAAAUUGGAAAAAAGGAGAUCUAUUUCUGGUUUGAUGGCGGAUAAUUUGAUUUGUGGGAAACAUCACUUUCUAUUCCUUAAUGUCUGCUUAUGUAAACUGGAGAUUCACAAAGAGUGUUGCCUGAUUCAUCUGAAUAGAGGACUUUAUUAAUAAUUGUAAUAUAUUUUAAGACCCAAAGGAGGAAAUUAAAAAAGGGGAUUUUGCUAGAGAUAACUAAUGCCAAGAAAAGUUACUUGGCAGUAGAUUGGCCUAUGGUGGUAUCUGUUACUAUCGUGAUUAUGUUUAAUUCACAGCUACUUGUAAUAAAUGAAGAUAAAAUUUGAAGCUGA